GUCCUCUUCGGCUUAUAUGCAAUGUGACAUUGUGAUUAAAGUUUAACACUUGUGCCUUGGUGAGAUUAUCACAGAGUCCCAGUGUUUUGAGUUCUGAUGCAUGCGUUGCUCAGAGCGUGAACCUUUUUGCCUGGCAGUAUGGCGAUGAAUGAGUCUUUAGAGUCCUCUUCAAACCGGAAGCCAGUGGAAUAUCUGUUUUUGCUUUCUUUAUUACAGUACCUUCCCGUCAGACGAGUAGCUGAUUUACUGGCUAGUUAAUAUGUCAAAGUCUUGCUUUUCGUCAUAAAACACAGAGGACCGGAGCUGCUACAAGGGAUGUGUAUGGAACACGAAAAUGUAGAGCUGCAGUGACCAAGCACCAGGGAAAUUAGCAUGGAAGCUGUGAGAGUAAUAAAUCAUGAGAUCCUGCAGUGGACCGAUGAGAUGAAGAUAUUCUGUGUGAGUGGAGAACAGUAGAGUGACACACAUCAGUUCUGGAGAAGCCAUGGGACUGAGCUGCUAGAACGAUGCUGACUUAAUGCUUUGUGUCUCUGGAGACUCAUCAGAGUUACAUUGGGAUGCAGAGCAAAGCUCCAACACUUGCCUUUAAACAGAAGAGAGCCUUUCGCCCCAUCAGCCCACUGUUUGAUGCAGUGCCAAGAGAAAUCACGUGGACAGAACGCCAAGCACGACUGAAACAUGAAUAUAAUGGCAAGAUUCCAGCUGAAAUCGGACUUGAUUUUGGAUUUCUUUUUCCACAUUUGGCCUGAUUAAGGUACACUAAACCUCACAGAGAUUGCAAUACUCAAGUAUGAAGAGCAAUGCUGCAGCCCACUGUGCACG
Molecule: long non-coding RNA, 822 nt
Organism: Carassius auratus (goldfish)
Lineage: Eukaryota; Metazoa; Chordata; Actinopteri; Cypriniformes; Cyprinidae
Exons: 4
Source: RefSeq, a predicted model, not a curated record